CACUUGGUGUCUUCCUACUAAGCAAUUCCUGCUCGGUGUGUUGAAUUAACAGCAGCGGUAUCUUGACCGUUCAAAGGUAGCAUAAUAAGCUUAAUAAUUGUAAGCCUGUCAACGGAUAUAUGGGUUUAAAUAAGUCAAAAACUAUUAAAGAAUAAAUUACCUUAAAAGUAAAAACUCUUUUACUUCUUAAAAAGACGAUAAGACCCUAGAAUUUUUUAUUUUUCGUUUAGAUGGGGAAUCUCAGGUAAAAAAAACCUCCUUAAAAAUACUCUAGGGAUAACAGCCCCAUUUGGGAGUGACUCUCAAGAUUGGGACCUCGAUGUUGAAUUAGGGGCCAUAGCCCCCAGAAGGGGCUAUGUUUGGUCUGUUCGACCAGUUUACCCU
RNAcentral lists this ribosomal RNA (384 nucleotides) under Architectonicidae sp. H1. RNAcentral's name for it is "partial 16S ribosomal RNA". Lineage: Eukaryota; Metazoa; Mollusca; Gastropoda; Architectonicidae. The record is from RNAcentral.